UGCGACCUCAGGUCAGGCGGGGGGCUAAU
RNAcentral lists this ribosomal RNA (29 nucleotides) under Stenanthemum centrale. RNAcentral describes it as "partial 26S ribosomal RNA". Lineage: Eukaryota; Viridiplantae; Streptophyta; Magnoliopsida; Rosales; Rhamnaceae. The record is from RNAcentral.